RNAcentral lists this transfer RNA (75 nucleotides) under Alphaproteobacteria bacterium. RNAcentral's name for it is "tRNA-Gly". It matches the Rfam family "tRNA". From Rfam's summary of the family: Transfer RNA (tRNA) molecules are approximately 80 nucleotides in length. Their secondary structure includes four short double-helical elements and three loops (D, anti-codon, and T loops). The record is from RNAcentral. RNAcentral also lists the same sequence under 1 other name. Lineage: Bacteria; Pseudomonadati; Pseudomonadota; Alphaproteobacteria.
GCGGGUGUAGCUCAGUGGUAGAGCGUCAGCUUCCCAAGCUGAAUGUCGCGGGUUCGACCCCCGUCGCCCGCUCCA